CGACCCUUUCUUGGUCAUUUAGAGGAAGUAAAAGUCGUAACAAGGUUUUCUAAGCAACAGUCCUUCUGUAGCAGAGCUUAACGGAGACCUUGCACCCGGAGGGGGGACCGACUCUAAAGAACUCCCAGCGCAAGUCAGCACCGCUGGAACACAAUCGAAUUGCGGGGACGCUUUAAAGCUCACCAGUACCAACUACCUUCUAGGGUAGGGCUAGCACAGCUAGAGGUCACAACCUGGUGGGAUGGACAAUAAGCAAUCCGCAGCGGCUAAGCCGUCCACAGACUAAGUGGUUGUGGUAGGAGACCCCUAUCUAAGAUAUAGUCGGGCCUUGUGAGCAGUCACAGGGUUCUGCGUCCGUAGGUGAACCUGCGGAAGGAUCAUUACCUAAAAGGUACCCUCACCGGUAUACCCCACCCGUGUCUAUCUACUCUUGUUGCUUUGCAGGCCGUGGUCUCCCACUGUGGGCUCUGCCUGCAUGUGCCUGCCAGAGACCAAACUCUGAAUUUUAGUGAUGUCUGAGUACUAUAUAAUAGUUAAAAUUUCAACAACGGAUCUCUUGGUUCUGGCAUCGAUGAAGAACGCAGCGAAUGCGAUAAGUAAUGUGAAUUGCAGAAUUCAGUGAAUCAUCGAAUCUUUGACGCACAUUGCGCCCUGUGGUAUUCCGCAGGGCAUGCCUGUUCGAGCGUAUUAUAGCCACUCAAGCCUCGCUUGGUGUUGGGGCUCGCCAUCUGGCGGCUCUAAAAUCAGUGGCGGUGCCGGUAGGCUCUGAGCGUAGUACAUCUCCCGCUAUAGAGUCCUAUCGGUCCCCUGCCAAACCCCCAUAUUUUUAUAGGUGACCUCGGAUCACGUAGGGAUACCCGCUGAACUUAAGCAUAUCAAUAACGGAGGA
This 889-nucleotide ribosomal RNA is filed under the name uncultured fungus. RNAcentral's name for it is "eukaryotic LSU rRNA". The stretch from base 537 to 688 matches the Rfam family "5.8S ribosomal RNA". Lineage: Eukaryota; Fungi. The record is from RNAcentral.